RNAcentral lists this ribosomal RNA (526 nucleotides) under uncultured eukaryote. Its description in RNAcentral is "partial small subunit ribosomal RNA". It matches the Rfam family "Eukaryotic small subunit ribosomal RNA", at positions 587 to 972 of the family's 1831-position model. The record is from RNAcentral.
AGCUCCAAUAGCGUAUAUUAAAGUUGUUGCAGUUGAAAAGCUCGUAGUUGCAGUUGUGUCGGGGGUUUUGGGGCUGUGUGGCGGGGGAGUCGUGGGCGGGUUCGCGGUGUGCCUUCGGGCCGCCGCGUCCCGUCGCGCCCCUCGCUUGAGCCCCUCCCCGGCAUCUCUUCUGGACCACGUCCCGCCUGUCCUUCACUGGAUUCGGGCGGGCGUUCCAGAUCGUUUACUGUGAAGAAAUUAGAGUGUUCAAAGCAGGCAUCAGCGGCUUCUGAAUAGAUUAGCAUGGAAUAAUGGCAAGAGAGGUUUGGACACCCGGUUCCAUCAGGGGCCGGGGGUUGUGGGGAUUCCUAUCCGAACUGGCCCAGCGCCACAGGGUGAGUCGGGGGGGCAGCAAUGCUUUCCCUUGCCCACCCUGCUCAUGAUGAACAGGGACAGUUGGGGGUGCUAGUAUUCAACGGCCAGAGGUGAAAUUCUUGGAUUCGUUGAAGACUAACGUCUGCGAAAGCAUUCACCAAGGAUGUCUUCA